This is a long non-coding RNA of Neltuma alba, 1517 nucleotides long. RefSeq lists it as uncharacterized. NCBI's taxonomy places the organism in Eukaryota, Viridiplantae, Streptophyta, Magnoliopsida, Fabales, Fabaceae. The transcript is spliced from 2 exons. The record is from RefSeq and is a predicted model, not a curated record.
UAAAUAUUUUUUGGUUCUAUCACCAAAGCAAAAGUCACAUCUAGCAACAAGAAUGCCCCAAGUUACUCAGCUUUUUCCCUUACCCUUUUAGACAAAGGACAGCAAUGGGACAGUUAUAGGGCUGUCCCCACUGGUGGAAAAUGCUAGCCUCAUUAAUGCAUGUGUUUGCUUUGCUUCCCAACUUGCAUAAGCAAUCUCUUUAUGCGAACCUCAUGUAUUGCAUUUCUUUUAGCCUCAAAACCCCCAUUCGUCUAUUCCCUGCCAAACGCGGCAUUGUAGUCCAAUUGGCUUCUUCUCCUCUAUCAGAUAACAGAUAGAGGGAAGGUCUGUUACUGAUCUUCGUUUUAAUAGGGAUUGCCGUCUUCCUCAUUCGGGAAAGUUCCUGCUCUUGUAUUGUGUUCAUGCCAGUGAAUCAGUGAUAUACUCUCAUUUCAUUGGCUACAGCCCAACACCAUACUAUCAGAUUGUCCCUUUUCUUUUCUGUGGUAAAAACAGUUACUUUGUGGUUAUUGGUCCUUGAAAAUUUCAUCAAAAGUCUAGCAUGUGGGGAUGAGGUCAUGUGAUGCAGCCAAGGAUGACUUGCCGGCAAGGUUUGGUUUGUAUAAUAAAAGUGACCGGCAAGUCAUCUCUGGCUACAUGAGACCCUCAUUUUCUCAUGCUCGGUUUUUAGAUGAAAUAGCCCUACUAUCACUUCUGGAGAUCGCAUACACUUCUCAGAAUUUGGAACUGACUAAUGCAACUGUAAGCUGCUUAGAAGUUUAAUGGACUUUCAUGCCAGCGGAAAACAUGGCACAUAAAGUACGAAAAUACAAACUCUGACAGUUAAAUAUUUAAGCUUUCAAGUUCCUCUUCAGGUUGAUGUAAUCAAUCUUGCUGACUUUUGCAGGUUUUAUGCGCACCCCGUUUGUGUCAAGUUUCCCUUGACUUCGCACCAAGGAAUGAAGCAUGCGGAGAUUUGAUUACUGUCUUCUCUGGUAGGAAUAUUAUUGAAAUGAUUCCAAGUUGUUACGCAUGUAUGGAGUGGUAAGUACUUGUCACUUCUUGUUUCAUCACCUACAAAGCUAGCUAGUGUUCCUGUUUGCACUCUUGGCUAUCAUAGAGGCACAACUUUGCAAUUCAAGGUGGCUGGCUCCACAUACGAGAUCCGUUGCAGUUUUCAGGGACCAAUGAAUACAACUCACAAGAUUAGGUUACCCAUUUUCUUUAGGCUUCAGUGUUGAGUUGCGACUACAGAGUUAUUAUCCAUAUGCAGCAAGAAAAAAGAAGCCUCUCUAAAGUUUCAUCUGAUUGCUCAUGUGCUACAGUAAGUUUCUAUCACGUACAGGGCUUCUUCUCUACCGUAGGAUGCAAUUUCUCGAGGUUGUUUCAUUCAUUUUCACCAUAAUAGAAUAGCAGCAAAUUGUUCUGGAAAAUUUAUGGAGACAAGACAUGCAAGCAACUCUGCUCCGGAUCUAGCCACUGUAAGCGGCUAUUUCAAGGUUCUUUUAUAUCAAUAUAUUCUAUGGCUUCUCAUGGAA